CGGGAAGCUGAGGUUUUUCCUAUGUCUGAACAAUGACGCCAUCGUUUUCUGGGUCUUCGAAGCAGUUGCAAAGAAAUGCCCAGAUGGAGGACAGAGGGCCAAACCACCCCAGUGAAUUCAUAACAGGAGAUAACUUGCUUAAGACCUGACUGUUUUUAAAAGCGAAUGCCAGUGAGUGAAAUGCCAGCUCCCUGUACAGUUACUAGAGCUCCUGGGAAUGCAUGGCCAGUGACACAAGUGAGAAUUGGAUGUUAUGACCGUCCAGAAAAGACAAGAUGAGAAAGUGCAGUAUUGACUGUCUUCAAACGCACCUGUCCUUGCUCAAGUGCUGGGAUUGUGUGCCAACGGCUAUGAUAGAUAUGAAUAGAGCACGAGAUAAUGUGCUUACAGAAAGUUGGUUGAAUUGAAUGCAAUUAAUGUUUGGAGGCACUUAGUCUUCUAGUGUUUGAAUGUGGAUGGAAUUAAAGCUGGGUUUGUAGUGAGCCAUUAGGAUUAUGGCAAAUGUCUAGUGUACAGAAUUCAGUGUAGGCCGGGAGUUGAGACUGGUGUGUGUUUAGUGGAUUAUCUGAUCAGCACAUGUGUGACAGUGUUGAUCACAAGUCAUUGCCAGCUCUGUUCAUUUUCUUCCCUGGUCUAACUCAAUAAUUGCCAUCAUGAAAAUUCUGGGUGACUUUUGUGACUAAAGUCCCAUUGUAAGCCACAUUCUUUGUCCAGCAGUGCUCACUGACUGCUGAAAUAAAUGUUCAUUUGCAAC
This is a non-coding RNA of Cricetulus longicaudatus (long-tailed hamster), 754 nucleotides long. The record is from Rfam. Lineage: Eukaryota; Metazoa; Chordata; Mammalia; Rodentia; Cricetidae.